CUUUGUCUGAUCAGGGUUUGUCCAUAGUUUUCAAUUUAGAGCUUAAAAACGUACAUAUAGAAAUCUAAAAUGUAAAUCACCGCUAUGUAUAAUGAAGGACAUUAGAACAAAAUAUUAUUCAGUUAUGAAAUACACUUUAAACAACGCACAAUUAAAAUAUUUCCAAAAGAACAAUGGCUUGCGGAGCCUCAGACGCCGCCUAGUGGUUAUAUCAUGAAAUUCCAGGGCAACUGGAUAUCAGAUAAAAAAAUGCAGCCAUGUCUAAGACGUUAAAUUGCUUCUGCAUUUUACCUUUAGUGUAAUUUCGCGAAUAGACAGAGGUAUAGACAUCUUUUGUUUUGUCACUGCAGCAAGAUUUACAUAUGUUUUUGGAGGCGAGAAACCUUUUUCCCUCUUGGUCCUCAAGUUAAUUCUUUGGAUUAAUCCAAGACCCAACUAUUAUACAUUGAAGUAAACAAAUUAAACCAAAAUGAACUUCCAAGUACCUUAUGCCUUGUUACAAACAAUUGAAAAUCUGAACUUCUGAUAAAAACAGAACCCAUAAACUGAUCUGUAAUGGUAAACAUCGCCAGAAAUGUAGUUUCCUAGGCUGUGCUGCAUAGAACACGUGCGGCUCUCCGAAAUGUACAGGAGCUGGGCUUAAUGUCUGGGACUUGAGUGCAUUUAGGCGUUUCUGAGACACGAAGGGCAAGGUAUGAGUACAAGAUUUGUCAGAAGCCAUCAUUACAUGCUAAAAGGCCUCGUGGUAAUCUGCCAAACAAGCAUCAGACAUGGCAAAUAAACACACAGGUUCAUAUACUUAAAAAUGGACUACACCAAUCUUCCAAAUUACACUACGACAUUGAUCUAACGUGCGUAAUUCCAGGCUGCGACCUAUGUGAGAUUUCAUGGCCGUACGUUAUUUAUCUUCGAAUCUAAGGCAUUCAGUCUUUGUUCCCGUUUGAUUUUAAGAAGUCGGGUUUUAUUCAAAUGGAUUCUAUUAAUCAAUUAAACUAUCCAAAUAAGCUAAAAGGUACGAUUUUCUUUGGAUAUUAAAAUCCACAGUGAAGAUGGCCAUUAUUUCUCGUUAUAAUGUAGCAAAUCCGAAAGGAAGCGAAACAUGGUUCAUGUCCACGAUUACGUCACUGUCCUUGCGCUCGCUGCACGCGACAUUUAACCUCAGAACCUUUAGCGCCCUCUACAGUCCACCAUCGUUACUGCAGCGCACUAUGGCGCGAAGUUGCGCUGUCUUCUUCUGAAGUACUGCAGUGAUAAUUGAAUAUUCGGAGAUGUUGCGGAUCAACAUUUACAUAUUUAUAUUUUGAUCUGAAAAGGUCCAAGUAAUAUGCAAGCUUUAGGAAAACUUGCUGGUGUGUAUAUUUUAAUUGCAAUAAAGAGGAUAACGGGAAAAUAGAGACGUCGAAGGAACACAAAUAUGCACACGGAGGUGGAAAUGUUUAGCCGAGGGCCGUCACACCAAGAGUCUGGUGAGAGGAAGCGGUCCAGACUCCCGCAUCACGCCGGCAGCCGGCACUGAGAGUGAGGAGCUGGAUGUCACGUCCGAACCCCACCUGAUACUCUGGCCAAAGCCCCCAGACCCAUGAACUGGAGCAGCCAAAGCUGAUGGUUCACUCUGUGCCAGUCCUGUGUCUCUCUGCCUGAUCGUGCUGGUGUUGUGCUGACCAACAAUCAAGGUGGCGAUUGACUUCAUUGAGGUCUGUUGGUUUUGAUUCUGAACCAGAUGUCUAAAAAAUUUUU
Molecule: long non-coding RNA, 1737 nt
Organism: Paramormyrops kingsleyae
Lineage: Eukaryota; Metazoa; Chordata; Actinopteri; Osteoglossiformes; Mormyridae
Source: RefSeq, a predicted model, not a curated record